Molecule: long non-coding RNA, 250 nt
Filed under: Lathyrus oleraceus (garden pea)
Lineage: Eukaryota; Viridiplantae; Streptophyta; Magnoliopsida; Fabales; Fabaceae
Description: Pisum sativum (pea) long non-coding RNA (PSAT_LNC032755)
Source: RNAcentral
AUCACUACAGAAACAAUACACGAAAUUGCAAUCAAAAUAUGGCAUACGACAGAAUUUCAAUAAAUUGUUCAUCAUAUAACAUAAAUCAACAAAACAGAGAAAAUCCUAUUGAAGUAGGUUAAGAGAAACCUCUCUACCCUUUAAUGAGUUAAACACCCAUUGAUGAAGAAUCCCCCUUACUUUGUAAUUCCAACAAAACAAAAAAAUCAGCAAAGCAACUUCAUUUUAUUUCUCAUCUCAAGCCCUAACA